GGAGGGUAUAGCUCAGUGGUAGAGCAUGUGCUUAGCAUGCGCGAGGUCCUGGGUUCAAUCCCCAGUACCUCCA
Molecule: transfer RNA, 73 nt
Filed under: Vicugna pacos (alpaca)
Lineage: Eukaryota; Metazoa; Chordata; Mammalia; Artiodactyla; Camelidae
Description: tRNA-Ala (AGC) (tRNA-Ala-AGC-709-1)
Rfam family: tRNA
About the family: Transfer RNA (tRNA) molecules are approximately 80 nucleotides in length. Their secondary structure includes four short double-helical elements and three loops (D, anti-codon, and T loops).
Source: RNAcentral